This 279-nucleotide unclassified non-coding RNA is filed under the name plant metagenome. RNAcentral's name for it is "partial contains small subunit ribosomal RNA, internal transcribed spacer 1, and 5.8S ribosomal RNA". The record is from RNAcentral.
UCUCCGUAGGUGAACCAGCGGAGGGAUCAUUACUGAGUGAGAAACCUCUGAGUCCUUCGUGACCGCCGCUUCUAUUGUCCCUUGUUGCGUCGGUGAGCCCGCCUCACGCCCGCCGGGGGGCAUCUCUCCCCGCGCCCGCGUUCGCCGGAUACCCCCUUGAACUAUGUCAAAAUUUUGCCGACGGAGCGAAUGCUAAAUAAGUCAAAACUUUCAACAACGGAUCGCUUGGUUCACGCAUGAAUGCCGAACGCAGCUGACUGGAAGAGCACACGUCUGAUC